CACGUAGGGUGCGAGCGUUAAUCGGAAUUACUGGGCGUAAAGCGUGCGCAGGCGGCUUUGCAAGACAGAUGUGAAAUCCCCGGGCUCAACCUGGGAACUGCAUUUGUGACUGCAAGGCUAGAGUACGGCAGAGGGGGAUGGAAUUCCGCGUGUAGCAGUGAAAUGCGUAGAUAUGCGGAGGAACACCAAUGGCGAAGGCAAUCCCCUGGGCCUGUACUGACGCUCAUGCACGAAAGCGUGGGGAGCAAACAGG
This 253-nucleotide ribosomal RNA is filed under the name uncultured bacterium. RNAcentral's name for it is "partial 16S ribosomal RNA". It matches the Rfam family "Bacterial small subunit ribosomal RNA", at positions 524 to 776 of the family's 1533-position model. The record is from RNAcentral.